CAAUAAGCGGAGGAAAAGAAACCAACAGGGAUUGCCCCAGUAACGGCGAGUGAAGCGGCAAAAGCUCAAAUUUGAAAUCUGGCUCCCUAUGGGGGUCCGAGUUGUAAUUUGCAGAGGAUGCUUCGGGUGCGGCCGCGGCGCAAGUCCCUUGGAACAGGGCGUCGCAGAGGGUGAGAAUCCCGUCUCGAGUCGCUGGCCCGCGCCCGUGUGAAGCUCCUUCGACGAGUCGAGUUGUUUGGGAAUGCAGCUCUAAGCGGGUGGUAAAUUUCAUCUAAAGCUAAAUACUGGCCGGAGACCGAUAGCGCACAAGUAGAGUGAUCGAAAGGUUAAAAGCACCUUGAAAAGGGAGUUAAAUAGCACGUGAAAUUGUUGAAAGGGAAGCGCUUGCGACCAGACUCGGGGGCAGGGGUUCAGCGGCCAUCCGUGGCCGUGUACUCCCCUGUCUCCCGGGCCAGCAUCGGUUCCCGCGGCCGGUCAAAGGCCCCCGGAAUGUGUCGUCUCUCGGGACGUCUUAUAGCCGGGGGUGCAAUGCGGCCAGCGGGGACCGAGGAACGCGCUUCGGCACGGAUGCUGGCGUAAUGGUCGUAAGCGGCCCGUCUUGAAACAC
This 607-nucleotide ribosomal RNA is filed under the name Arachnotheca glomerata. RNAcentral's name for it is "eukaryotic LSU rRNA". It matches the Rfam family "Eukaryotic large subunit ribosomal RNA", at positions 44 to 662 of the family's 3401-position model. The record is from RNAcentral. Lineage: Eukaryota; Fungi; Ascomycota; Eurotiomycetes; Onygenales; Onygenaceae.